This is an RNA transcript of Megalobrama amblycephala (Wuchang bream), 7892 nucleotides long. RefSeq lists it as uncharacterized. NCBI's taxonomy places the organism in Eukaryota, Metazoa, Chordata, Actinopteri, Cypriniformes, Xenocyprididae. The record is from RefSeq and is a predicted model, not a curated record. The transcript is spliced from 2 exons.
GUCAGAAAUGACUUGGGUGUAAUUUAAGUGAAUUUGGAGAUUUAUCUCGGGUGAAUGGAGAGACAUUUUGAAUGGCGAAUCUGUUGCAUCAGAGAAAAAGUUAUGGAAAUCGGCGAACAUCAUCGGAAGCAGCUGACGAGGCGCGGAGGAGAAGAGAGCUCGUGAGGCGCGCGUGCUGAAAACGGAGUGCACGGAAAGACUUUAAAAACCAGUCAUCCUAAAAGAAUUGCGACGCAGUGAGUGUCCUGUCGCACAAGUGUCUUCUAGAAGAAAAGCUUGCCGCAUCUAAAGAGAGUUGUGAGCGAAAGAAGACGGAAAUAGCGGAAAGCACGUCAGUGAUGAGUCAACCCGAGAUGCUGAUGGUAGGAUGAAAAGUGUUUAGCGAGCUAAAUGUUAGCCUAUAUAUGUUUAUUUAUAUUUAGAUAAAUAUCUUCUUGUGUAUUGAAGAGACAGUUUAUGGUGUAACAGAAGUUUGCUGAUUCAUAUUGUAUAUAAUAAUAUUGAAUUAGUGUGCAUACAGUUACAAUGUGUACUAUUAAGUGUACUAAGUGUUCAUAUUGUGUGUACUUGUUACAGUGCAUUAGAUGUUAAGUAUAUUAUUAUAAUUUAGUAUAUUAUUCUGUUUUCUUAAAGGUUAUCAACCUAAUUUGAUCCCAAACUGCAAAAAUAUCUACCUUCAAUUAAACUAACUACAAUCGGACCAAACUAAAUUCCAUCUGUUGGAUAAUUGUUGUUGGAUGUGAAUGGAUGUAAAAAAUCAACACACUGCAAUACAAGUAGGACUGUAAGAAGUUUAUUGAAGACUGGAAGUAAAGCCAUUUUUUUUUGAGUUGAUCCUUGUGUCCGUGGUUGACUAAGUCCUUUUUCGAGUUAGAGGCAGGCUGAUGUGUGAAAUCUGAAAUUAACUCGACAGUUGAUAACCACUGGGACAGCCACAACUUGCUAACACAGUUGACGAUCAGCAUAACAGCAGUGGUUUUCACAUUCGUGGCAGGGCAGGACGGCCAAGCUCAAGACAGUGUGUCAUUGGAGCAGGAAAGUGAAUAACCUGAACGUUGUUGCUGCUGUGGAAGUGUCAGGUGGAUAAGUAGAAAAUGGCUGAAGAAGCAGUGGGAAAACCAAUUGAGCAGCUUAAAAAAGAAAGGACUGCUGCAAAAAUCAGUUUCACUAGACAAAUUAACUUCCUUAGCAGAGAAGCUCACAGGCUAAUGGAGGAGGAGCUUAAGGAGGAGUUCAAGAAGCUCUCACUCGUUGCAAGGAGGGUUUUUGAGAUUAACGAUGAUUACAGAACUGGCCUUCUUGCCGAUAUGGAAGCUGAUGAGAGCAAAGACGAGGAGGUAGUUCUUUCAAUGCAGCAGGAAGCAGACAUUAGAAAGACUGCAAGUGAGUGCGAUGCAAAGUUUAAUGAAGUUGAAAGAAUUGUUCAAGAUAAUCUUUGGUCAAGAUAUGGACUGCACGAAGUGACUGAUGCAAUCUCUGCGGCGGAGAAAGCCUGCGAUCGAGUAGCAAGUAUGGCUGUUGACGGCAACGAUUAUGAAAACUAUGAAGUGCAAAUUGACUUCCUCACAAAACUUGUUAAGGAGGCGAUAAGAGCUUUAUCAAACUGGGAGAGAUGGACCCCUGAUGGUGAAAGGAAAGUUUUGGAGGGACGUGCACGCAGGUUGAAGGAAAACAGCAACGACCUUGAAGCAAGGAAAGGUGAGUUCGCUAGAGCGCGGAGGGCUGCAGAAGAUGCAUCAGGCAUAAAUCCCAUCGUAGGAACGAUGCCAAGCGCAACGCCAUUUAUAGCUCAAGCCACACCAAUUGUAAAAUUGAGACCAGCAAGUUUGCCCAUGUUCAACGGAAGCAAAAGAGACUUCUAUCGCUGGAGAAAAGACUGGGAAAGCCUUCAACAACAAGGGGAACCUUCUGGGUCUGUAGAAGUCAAAAAGAUUCAAUUGCUGGAUAGUAUAGAUGAUAGGAUUGUGAAAGACCUCAGACUGUCCUCCUACAACACCGCUGAAGAUGUAUUCAGGGUUCUAACAAAUCGUUAUGGAAACAAGUAUGCAAUCACAAUGGAGAUUGUGGAGGAGCUAGAAAGACUUCCUGUGAUGAGAGGAAACCAGCCACGCAGAGUGAUUGAACUCAUCCAAACAGUGGAGAAGGCUUUAGUGGAUCUCACUGAUCUUGGAGACACAGGGGCCAUAAAAAACCCUCUUGUGGUCAAAUCCAUAGAAAGUAAACUUCCUGAGUUCAUGAAAAGGGACUGGCUUGCUCUGAUGUCGGCUCCUGAAAGUAAUGUUACAUCUGAAAACCACUUCGACAAGCUUCUUGAGUUCUUGAAGAAGGAGGAAGGGAUCCUUGAGAGACUGGAGCAGCUCAGAGUCACAGAGAAAGUGGAAAGGCAAGAAAGAAAGCCAGAAAGAAGUCAUGCAUUCACUAAAUCAACAAAAACAGUGCCGUCUGAAAGUCUCUGCAUUGUGUGUGGGUCUGAGAAGCACAAGGGGAAAAUCUUCUUCUGCAGGAAGUUCAAGGAACUGGAGCUGGCUGAGAAGAAGGUGAUCCUGAGAAAGCUUGGAGUGUGCAGGAAGUGCCUGGGACAUCAUGAAGAUGACAGCAAGUGUAGGGACGCAUUUCUAUGCAGGCGUAAGGAUUGUAGAAGUGGAUCCUCUGUAGAGCAUCACUACCUCAUCUGUCCUAGAGGGGAGACCAAGCCUGAGUAUAAAGGUAGAGUCACCCUCAGAGAGGGGAAGAAGGGAAGCCAAUUAACAGCAGAACAAGAGGAGUUCCUCUCUGAACUUUCCCCUGAGGUGGCAGAAAAGUGUAAAAAAGCAUUUACCAACAGUGCUAGGAUGGAAAGAUCCAAAAGCAAGAAGUUGGGCCUGUUGGAGGAAAAUGGACUCCAAGAGCUACCAGUUAUCAUGAUGCUCAAAGAAGUGACGACCAACACAGGACAGAAAAUCGGUACCCUAAUCGACCUGGCGUCCGAUACAAACUACAUAACUCAUGAAGCUGCCGACAGGCUUAGAUUGAGUGGUGAAGAAAUCAACCUGGUUGUUCAUGGAGUGGGGAAGAUGGCUAUCCAUGUGAGAACCAAGAGGUAUCUCCUCCGAAUUCGAGUGAGAACACCAGUGGGAACAGAAAGGGCUCACCAGUUAGUCUGUUACGGUCUGGAAGAAAUCGCAAGAGUGCACAUGAGUGUUAGUCCAGAGCGACUGAAAAGGUUCUUCCCAGAAGUAGACUUGGCAGAGCUAAGGAGGCCUGAAAAAAUAGAACUUCUUCUUAGUCAUCGGGAAGGAAAACUUGCACCGCAAAGGGUGAAAAUUGUAGGAGACCUUGUUCUAUGGGACAGCCCGCUUGGAAAGAUGGUGGGUGGAGCUCAUCCGGACUUGUUUGAGGCAGUAAACAUGACAGCCCACGAGUCGAAGACACACUUUGCACGUUCUAUGAGGACUGCUGCGGUCAGGUACAAGGAAGUUCUCAGAGAAAGUGAUCCAAUGCACAUCUCCAGGGCCCCUAAAGGAAACAAAAUGGCCUGUGCUAAUGUAGGAAGCACACUUGCAAGUGGCAGAGAGUUUCUUCAGUGGUGGAGCUGGGAUAGUAUCGGAGCUGCAUGUGAGCCAAAGUGCGGAGGCUGCCGCUGCGGGAACUGUCAGCCAGGGGGAAAAGAGAUGACUCUGGCAGAGGAGAAAGAGCUGGAGAUCAUAAGAAAGGGUCUUACUUAUGUGCAAGCGGAUUCUCACAGCGAUCAACCUCACUGGGACGCAAGGUACCCAUGGAUCCAAGAGCCUUCCUCUCUUCCGUAUAACCGAAGUGGAGUGGAGUCGACUUUCCUGAGAACGGAAAAGCAACUUGGGAAAGUGCCUGAGUGGAAGAAAGUCUACACUGCUCAAGUCCACGAUAUGGUUGAGAGAGGUGCAGCAGUAAAGCUUACAAAAGAUGCACUUGAUAAGUGGAAAGGUCCAAUUUGGUACGUAAGUCACCUAGUAGCACCAAACCCACAUUCAGUCACCACGCCUGUGCGUCUGGUGUGGAAUAGCAGCCAGAAAUUUAAGGGGCUGAGUAUGAACGACCUCCUGCUGAAAGGGCCUGAUGUGUUGAAUCCUAUCCGAGCCGUCUUGCUUAGGUUCAGAAAAGGAGUGUUCGGAGCAUUGGGAGACAUCAAAAAGAUGUAUAAUUCAGUAUGGCUUGAAGAACAAGAAAUGCACCUCCAUAGAUUUCUCUGGAGGGAUACACCAGAGGGAGAAAUAGAGGAAUACGCCAUAACCAGAGUUAAUAUUGGAGAUCGUCCGGCUGGGUGUAUCGCACAGCUGGCGAUGCGGGAGACAGCUGGUCUGGCAGCCUUUGCUCACCUGAGGGAGGAGCGAAGAGUUCUCGAAGAAGACAGUUACGUUGAUGACAUCCUCACAUCUCAUAAUGAUCAGAGGAAACUGGUAGAGAUAGUGAAGGGAAUUGAAGAAAUCCUGAAAGCAGGUGGAUUCUCGCUCAAGGCAUGGGUCUGGUCUGGUCAAAGUGGGAGGUCUGGAUCUGAAAGGGUAAACAAAGCGUUUCCUGAGAAAACCAUCAUACUUCCUAACCAGCUGGGUGAAGGGGAUGAUAAGGCCCUGGGAGUUGGAUACCUAGCAGAGGAGGAUAGGUUGUAUAUCAUGACUUCUGUUAAUUUUUCCAAAAGGAAAAAGAAGUUGAGGACGGAGCAGGAUCUCCUUGAAGAGGAAGUCAGGCUGAAGACACCAAAUCCUUUGACCAGAAGACACCUAUUGAGUCAGGUAGCAGGACUCUAUGACCCAAUUGGCCUCAUCACACCAGCUAAACAAAAGGGUACGAUUCUCGUCAGAAAAGCAUUCCAGGAAGCUGGAGGCGGAGGUCUAACGAGGCAUACAUGGGACACGGGGCUCUCAGAAGGAAUUCGAGGAGAAGCUAUCGAGUUAUUUGAGGAGUAUGUGCGACUCCAGAAAGUCAAGUUCCACAGAAGUCUUACGCCUGCAGACUGGAAAGGAAAGCCAUGGGGAGUCACGUUCUCGGAUGGGAGUGACAAAACUUAUGGUGCAGUAUUAUAUCUCAGGUGGAAUUCAAGCCAAGGAGUGGUUGUUAGAUUGGUUGAGUCUAAAGCCAAACUAACACCACUAGAAUUGAAGGGUGAUCCCAUUAAGGCUGAAAUCUGUGGUGCAGUCUUUGCAACACGUCUUAGAAAGUAUUUCGAAAAGCAUGGACGGAUUGAAGUAGAGAAGUGGUUCCAUCUUGUGGAUAGUCAAACGGUACUGGGAGCUAUCCAGCGUGAUAGCUAUGGAUACCAAACUUUCUUCGCGAAUAGGAUCGGAGAGAUUCAGAAGACAGGAGCAUCCAGUGACUGGUGGUGGAUUCCUGGGGAUCUGAACAUCGCAGAUAUCAUCACGCGAGGGGCGAGCCCUAAAGAUCUUGACGAAGAUUCCAUCUGGCAGAAUGGACCGGAAUUCCUUAAGAGGUCAGUGGAGGAGUGGCCCAAAAGAUCAGCAGCUGAAAUCGCUGAUGAUGCUAGAGAAAGAGUCAACAAGCUCCAGAGGAAAGUCUUCUCAGCUGCGGUGACUCGAGGUCAGAUAAAGGAAGUAUCAGUAGCUGAUGAGUCAUCUCGACUGGAAAUGCUGAGCAAGCUGGUCACCGAAGGAUUGGUGGACAUUGAGAAGUUCAGUAGUCUGUCCAGGUUGAUAAGAGUCAUUGGCUGGGUGUGGCGCAGUGUGAGGAAAUGGCUUGAGUCAAGGAACAGAGGUUCAAUGUAUGGAAAACAAAAUCCAGUCGGUGAGCGUGUGCUGACGGUGAAAGAAAGAGAGGAUGUUUUGAAGGCACUCUUUCUAGCAGCUCAAAAGAGCACAACAUUUCCUUUGACCACACUCUGCAGACUGGCUGUAUUCAAAGAAGAAAACAACGGACUUCUUGUAUGCGGUGGAAGAUAUGAAGCCUUUGGAAAGGAGAGGAACACUGUUCCAAUAUUACCCAUGGAAGCAAGAGUAUCAUUGCUACUGGCUCAUGAAGCUCAUGAAGCCAACCAUGAGGAAAUUGCCGGGACUCUUCUGAGGAUGAGAAAAGUAGCUUGGGUAGUAAAAGGACGGAGGUUGGCCAAAAGAGUCGUAGAAAGUUGCGUAAUCUGCAGGAAAGCACGAGCAAAGAGGUGCAAGCAGAUCAUGAGUGAUCUCCCGCCUGAAAGAAUUGGACCAGCUGCACCCUUUGAAUUCGUCACAGUAGAUCUUUUCGGUCCCUAUGAGGUGAAGGAUGAAGUGAAGAAAAGAGUGCGAAUGAAGGUCUGGGGGAUUGUGUAUUGUUGCAUGGCUUCAAGGGCUAUUCACGCAGAUGUUGUGGGUGAUCAAUCCACUGAAGGUUUCUUGUUGUCUUAUAAGAGGUUCACAGCCUUAAGGGGACAUCCCAAAAAAGUGUGGUCAGAUCCAGGCUCAAACUUCGUGGGAGCACAGUCCGCCCUGAAAGAUCUCUAUGAGUUUCUAGGAAGAGUAGAGAAACCAGGACUUGAAGAGGAAGCCGGGAGACAUGGGACCGAGUGGUCCUGGAAGUUUCAUCCAGCGAAUUCACCCCAUAGGAAUGGGGCAGCUGAAGCUGCUGUUCGUGUGGUAAAGAGAUCUCUUCAUAACCUGGGGGGUGAAGGUGUCUUCACGUGGGGAGAAUUCCAGACUUUCUUGUGUAUGGCAGCAAACUUGGCGAAUGAAAGGCCCAUAGACGCACGAACACAAAGCCGUGAGUAUUGUCUCGAGUACAUUACACCGAACUCUCUUUUAUUGGGAAGAGCAAGCCCAAGAGGAGAUCCAUGCGAUUUUGAUUUCGAAGGAUACCCGUACAAAAGGCUGAGGGUCAUCCAAGGAGAAAUCAAUAAGUUCUGGAAAAGGUGGAGCCAGCUGGCAGGACCAAACCUGUUCAUAAGGAGUAAGUGGCAUACAAGAGAAAGGAAUGUCGCCGUAGGAGACAUUGUCUGGGUCGCGGACCAGAAUGCUUUGAGGAGCCAAUACAAGUUAGGCAGAGUCAUAAAGGUGAAUGCUGAUCCUAAAGGUAUUGUGAGAGAUGUUGACGUCAGAGUUUUCUCGAGUCAUCCAGUCUUCUGCUCGGGUCUUGAGAAGACAGACACAAGGAAAAUCACUAAAAGUGAAAGCACCAAAAUCCUAUCAACCGUUCUUCAUAGAGAUGUCAGGCGGUUAGUCGUACUGAUCCCAGUGGAGGAACAAUUCAAGAAUGUGGAAGAAAAGUGUUGAGUGUGACAUCUUGGAUUCAAGAACCAAAGAUGUCAAGUGGGAGGUGUAAAGUCAGAAAUGACUUGGGUGUAAUUUAAGUGAAUUUGGAGAUUUAUCUCGGGUGAAUGGAGAGACAUUUUGAAUGGCGAAUCUGUUGCAUCAGAGAAAAAGUUAUGGAAAUCGGCGAACAUCAUCGGAAGCAGCUGACGAGGCGCGGAGGAGAAGAGAGCUCGUGAGGCGCGCGUGCUGAAAACGGAGUGCACGGAAAGACUUUAAAAACCAGUCAUCCUAAAAGAAUUGCGACGCAGUGAGUGUCCUGUCGCACAAGUGUCUUCUAGAAGAAAAGCUUGCCGCAUCUAAAGAGAGUUGUGAGCGAAAGAAGACGGAAAUAGCGGAAAGCACGUCAGUGAUGAGUCAACCCGAGAUGCUGAUGGUUAUCAACCUAAUUUGAUCCCAAACUGCAAAAAUAUCUACCUUCAAUUAAACUAACUACAAUCGGACCAAACUAAAUUCCAUCUGUUGGAUAAUUGUUGUUGGAUGUGAAUGGAUGUAAAAAAUCAACACACUGCAAUACAAGUAGGACUGUAAGAAGUUUAUUGAAGACUGGAAGUAAAGCCAUUUUUUUUUUGAGUUGAUCCUUGUGUCCGUGGUUGACUAAGUCCUUUUUCGAGUUAGAGGCAGGCUGAUGUGUGAAAUCUGAAAUUAACU